AUUGAACGCUGGCGGCGUGCCUAACACAUGCAAGUCGAGCGGUAACAGGUGUAGCAAUACAUGCUGACGAGCGGCGAACGGGUGAGUAAUGCUUCGGAAUCUACCUUAUGGUGGGGAAUAACUAGCCGAAAGGUUAGCUAAUACCGCAUACGUCCUACGGGAGAAAGCAGGGGAUCGCAAGACCUUGCGCCAAAAGAUGCGCCGAAGUAGGAUUAGCUAGUGGGUAGGGUAACGGCCUACCAAGGCGACGAUCCGUAGCUGGUCUGAGAGGACGACCAGCCACACUGGGACUGAGACACGGCCCAGACUCCUACGGGAGGCAGCAGUGGGGAAUAUUGGACAAUGGGGGAAACCCUGAUCCAGCGACGCCGCGUGUGUGAAGAAGGCCUGCGGGUUGUAAAGCACUUUUAGUGGGGAUGAAAUGUGCAGGGUUAAUACCUCUGCAUUUUGACCUAACCCACAGAAAAAGCACCGGCUAGCUCUGUGCCAGCAGCCGCCGUAA
RNAcentral lists this ribosomal RNA (502 nucleotides) under uncultured bacterium. RNAcentral's name for it is "partial 16S ribosomal RNA". It matches the Rfam family "Bacterial small subunit ribosomal RNA", at positions 30 to 523 of the family's 1533-position model. The record is from RNAcentral.